CCUACGGGAGGCAGCAGUGGGGGAUAUUGCACAAUGGGGGGAACCCUGAUGCAGCGACGCCGCGUGGGUGAAGGAGCGUUUCGGCGCGUAAAGCCCUAUCGGCAGGGAAGAAGGAGGACGGUACCUGACUAAGAAGCCCCGGCUAACUACGGGCCAGCAGCCGCGGUAAUACGGAGGGGGCAAGCGUUAUCCGGAUGUACUGGGUGUAAAGGGGGCGCAGACGGCAGCGCAAGCCAGGAGUGAAAGCCCGGGGCCCAACCCCGGGACUGCUCUUGGAACUGCGCGGCUGGAGUGCAGGAGGGGCAGGCGGAAUGCCUGGUGUAGCGGUGAAAUGCUUAGAUAUUGCGCAGAACUCCGAUUGCGAAGGCAGCAUACCGGCGGCGAUCUGACGCUGAGGCACGAAAGCGUGGGUAUCGAACAGGAUUAGAUACCCCAGUAGUC
Molecule: ribosomal RNA, 441 nt
Filed under: uncultured bacterium
Lineage: Bacteria
Description: partial 16S ribosomal RNA
Rfam family: Bacterial small subunit ribosomal RNA
Source: RNAcentral